This 494-nucleotide ribosomal RNA is filed under the name uncultured bacterium. RNAcentral's name for it is "partial 16S ribosomal RNA". It matches the Rfam family "Bacterial small subunit ribosomal RNA", at positions 28 to 523 of the family's 1533-position model. The record is from RNAcentral.
GAUGAACGCUAGCGGCAGGCCUAACACAUGCAAGUCGAGGGGUAUCCCGCUUUCGGGCGGGAGAGACCGGCGCACGGGUGCGUAACGCGUAUGCAACCUACCCUGUACUGAGGGAUAGCCCGGAGAAGUUCGGAUUAACACCUCAUAGUACUAAUGAGUGGCAUCAUUUAUUAGUUAAAGGUUACGGUACAGGAUGGGCAUGCGUCCUAUUAGCUAGAUGGUAAGGUAACGGCUUACCAUGGCUACGAUAGGUAGGGGGCCUGAGAGGGUGGUCCCCCACACUGGUACUGAGACACGGACCAGACUCCUACGGGAGGCAGCAGUGAGGAAUAUUGGUCAAUGGGCGCAAGCCUGAACCAGCCAUGCCGCGUGCAGGAAGACGGUCCUAUGGAUUGUAAACUGCUUUUAUUUGGGAAUAAACCUCUUUACGUGUAGAGAGCUGAAGGUACCAAAUGAAUAAGCACCGGCUAACUCCGUGCCAGCAGCCGCCGUAA